RNAcentral lists this ribosomal RNA (497 nucleotides) under uncultured bacterium. Its description in RNAcentral is "partial 16S ribosomal RNA". It matches the Rfam family "Bacterial small subunit ribosomal RNA", at positions 28 to 507 of the family's 1533-position model. The record is from RNAcentral.
GAUGAACGCUGGCGGCGUGCCUAAUACAUGCAAGUCGAGCGAACGGACGAGAAGCUUGCUUCUCUGAUGUUAGCGGCGGACGGGUGAGUAACACGUGGAUAACCUACCUAUAAGACUGGGAUAACUUCGGGAAACCGGAGCUAAUACCGGAUAAUAUUUUGAACCGCAUGGUUCAAAAGUGAAAGACGGUCUUGCUGUCACUUAUAGAUGGAUCCGCGCUGCAUUAGCUAGUUGGUAAGGUAACGGCUUACCAAGGCAACGAUGCAUAGCCGACCUGAGAGGGUGAUCGGCCACACUAGAACUGAGACACGGUCCAGACUCCUACGGGAGGCAGCAGUAGGGAAUCUUCCGCAAUGGGCGAAUGCCUGACGGAGCAACGCCGCGUGAGUGAUGAAGGUCUUCGGAUCGUAAAACUCUGUUAUUAGGGAAGAACAUAUGUGUAAGUAACUGUGCACAUCUUGACGGUACCUAAUCAGAAAGCCACGGCUAACUACGUG